RNAcentral lists this transfer RNA (70 nucleotides) under Marumba sperchius. RNAcentral describes it as "tRNA-Ala". It matches the Rfam family "tRNA". Rfam says of the family: Transfer RNA (tRNA) molecules are approximately 80 nucleotides in length. Lineage: Eukaryota; Metazoa; Arthropoda; Insecta; Lepidoptera; Sphingidae. The record is from RNAcentral.
AGGAUUAUAGUUUAUAAAAACAUUUAAUUUGCAAUUAAAAAAUAUUGGUUCAACUCAUCAAUUUAUCUUA